AUUGGACGCUGGCGGCAUGCUUUACACAUGCAAGUCGAACGGUAACAGGCCGCAAGGUGCUGACGAGUGGCGCACGGGUGAGUAAUGCAUCGGAACGUGCCCAGUCGUGGGGGAUAACUACUCGAAAGAGUAGCUAAUACCGCAUACGAUCUAUGGAUGAAAGCGGGGGACCGUAAGGCCUCGCGCGAUUGGAGCGGCCGAUGUCAGAUUAGGUAGUUGGUGGGGUAAAGGCUCACCAAGCCAACGAUCUGUAGCUGGUCUGAGAGGACGACCAGCCACACUGGGACUGAGACACGGCCCAGACUCCUACGGGAGGCAGCAGUGGGGAAUUUUGGACAAUGGGCGCAAGCCUGAUCCAGCAAUGCCGCGUGCAGGAAGAAGGCCUUCGGGUUGUAAACUGCUUUUGUACGGAACGAAACGGCUCUGGUUAAUACCCGGGGCUAAUGACGGUACCGGAAGAAUAAGCACCGGCUAACUACGUG
Molecule: ribosomal RNA, 482 nt
Filed under: uncultured bacterium
Lineage: Bacteria
Description: partial 16S ribosomal RNA
Rfam family: Bacterial small subunit ribosomal RNA
Source: RNAcentral